This 497-nucleotide ribosomal RNA is filed under the name uncultured bacterium. RNAcentral describes it as "partial 16S ribosomal RNA". It matches the Rfam family "Bacterial small subunit ribosomal RNA", at positions 28 to 507 of the family's 1533-position model. The record is from RNAcentral.
GAUGAACGCUGGCGGCGUGCCUAACACAUGCAAGUCGAGCGAACAGACGAGGAGCUUGCGCCUUCGACGUUAGCGGCGGACGGGUGAGUAACACGUAGGUAACCUACCUAUAAGACUGGGAUAACAACGGGAAACCGGAGCUAAGACCGGAUAAUAUUUCGAACCGCAUGGGUCGAUAGUGAAAGAUGGCUGUGCUAUCACUUAUAGAUGGACCUGCGCCGUAUUAGCUAGUUGGUAAGGAAACGGCUUACCAAGGCAACGAUACGUAGCCGACCUGAGAGGGUGGUCGGCCACACUGGAUCUGAGACACGGUCCCGACUCCUGCGGUAGGCCGCAGUCCGGACUCUUCCGCGAUGGACGAGAGCCUGACAGAGCACCGCCGCGUGAGUCAUGAAGGUGUUCGGAUCGGUGAGCUCUGUUAUUCGUGGAGAACAAACGUGUAAUUACCUGUGCACAUAUUGACGGUACCUGGUCAAAAAGCCCCGGCUAACUCCGUG